UCGAGAAUUUUUCACAAUGGGCACAAGCCUGAUGGAGCGACGCCGCGUGGGGGAUGAAUGGCUUCGGCCCGUAAACCCCUGUCAUUUGCGAUCAAACCUUGCUAUUUAAAAGAUGGCGAGCUGAUAGUAGCGAAAGAGGAAGGGACGGCUAACUCUGUGCCAGCAGCCGCGGUAAUACAGAGGUCCCAAGCGUUGUUCGGAUUCACUGGGCGUAAAGGGUGCGUAGGUGGUGGGGUAAGUCGGAUGUGAAAUCUCGGAGCUCAACUCCGAAAUGGCAUUGGAAACUACCCUGCUAGAGGGUCGGGGGGGGGACUGGAAUUCUCGGUGUAGCAGUGAAAUGCGUAGAUAUCGAGAGGAACACCAGUGGCGAAGGCGAGUCCCUGGACGACUCCUGACACUGAGGCACGAAAGCUAGGGGAGCAAACA
RNAcentral lists this ribosomal RNA (426 nucleotides) under uncultured bacterium. RNAcentral's name for it is "bacterial SSU rRNA". It matches the Rfam family "Bacterial small subunit ribosomal RNA", at positions 355 to 774 of the family's 1533-position model. The record is from RNAcentral.